Molecule: ribosomal RNA, 519 nt
Filed under: Agononida alisae
Lineage: Eukaryota; Metazoa; Arthropoda; Malacostraca; Decapoda; Munididae
Description: partial 16S ribosomal RNA
Rfam family: Bacterial large subunit ribosomal RNA
Source: RNAcentral
GUCUGUGUGGAGUUAUAUGGAGUCUGACCUGCCCGUUGAAGAAAUUUGAAAGGCCGCGGUAUAUUAACUGUGCAAAGGUAGCAUAAUAAUUAGUUUUUUAAUUGGAAACUUGUAUGAAGGGUUGGACAAAGAAAAGACUGUCUUUAAUUUUAGUUUUGAAAUUAACUUUUAAGUGAAAAGGCUUAAAUAAAUUUAGGGGACGAUAAGACCCUAUAAAUCUUAAUAUUAUUUUAUUUUCUUUAAAAUUAAUAUUUGUCUAGGGUAUAGAGUAAAAUAAAGGAUAUUUUGUUGGGGUGACAAGAAUAAAAAUUUAACUGUUCUUAAUUUAAACAAAGUUAUUUGUAAAAAAAUUAAUAGAUCCUUUUUAGAGAUUAAGAGUUUAAGUUACUUUAGGGAUAACAGCGUUAUUUUUUUUGAGAGUUCUUAUCGAAAAAAAAGUUUGCGACCUCGAUGUUGAAUUAAGAUUUCUCUGUGGUGCAGUAGUUACAGGAAGAAAGUCUGUUCGACUUUUAAAAUUUU